UUGACAUAUUUGAGAAGAAGGUUCUUGACGUUCCGUUGAACGUUUGCGAGUGGUUCAGAGAUUACCAACCAGUUUCAAGUGGGAAACAAGAGAUCGAGCAUGCAUACGAGUUUGUGAAGAAGAAGUUUGAGGAAUUAUAUUACCAGA
Camelina sativa (false flax) is the source of this 147-nucleotide non-coding RNA. NCBI's taxonomy places the organism in Eukaryota, Viridiplantae, Streptophyta, Magnoliopsida, Brassicales, Brassicaceae. The record is from RefSeq and is a predicted model, not a curated record.